This 497-nucleotide ribosomal RNA is filed under the name uncultured bacterium. RNAcentral's name for it is "partial 16S ribosomal RNA". It matches the Rfam family "Bacterial small subunit ribosomal RNA", at positions 28 to 507 of the family's 1533-position model. The record is from RNAcentral.
GAUGAACGCUGGCGGCGUGCCUAAUACAUGCGAGUCGAGCGAACAGACGAGGAGCUUGCUCCUCUGACGUUAUCGGCGGACGGGUGAGUAACACGUGGAUAACCUACCUAUAAGACUGGGAUAACUUCGGGAAACCGGAGCUAAUACCGGAUAAUAUAUUGAACCGCAUUGUUCAAUAGUGAAAGACGGUUUUGCUUUCACUUAUAGAUGGAUCCGCGCCGCAUUAGCUAGUUGGUAAGGUAACGGCUUACCAAGGCAACGACGCUUAGCCGACCUGAGAGGGUGAUCGGCCACACUGGAACUGAGAAACGGUACAGACUCCUACGGGAGGCAGCAGUAGGGAAUCUUCCGCAAUGGGCGAAAGCUUGACGGAGCAACGCCGCGGGAGUGAUGAAGGUCUUCGGAUCGUAAAACUCUGUUAUUAGGGAAGAACAAAUGUGUAAGUAACUAUGCACGUCUUGACGGUACCUAAUCAGAAAGCCACGGCUAACUACGUG